This 332-nucleotide unclassified non-coding RNA is filed under the name Hevea brasiliensis (rubber tree). Lineage: Eukaryota; Viridiplantae; Streptophyta; Magnoliopsida; Malpighiales; Euphorbiaceae. The record is from RNAcentral.
GCAUGGAAUCUGUGGUUUGAAAAUCAAGGAUUAGAGUUGAUGGAUCCGUUACUUGUAAACUCAUGCGUGGAAGCUGAGGUACUGAAAUGCAUCCAAAUUGGGUUGUUGUGUGUGCAAGAUGACCCAGCAGACAGACCAACUAUGUCUUCGGUUGUUUUAAUGUUAGGAAAUGAUACCAUGACACUUCCUCAGCCCACAAAACAUACAUUUUCUGUUAAAACAGUUGUCGAAAGUAAGGAAUCAUCAUCAAAUUAUGAAGCUUUUUCUGUCAAUGAGAUGACUGUUUCAGAUAUGUUACCGCGGUGAAUUGUCGUGUAUUUCUUGUAAUCUAG